RNAcentral lists this unclassified non-coding RNA (400 nucleotides) under uncultured Staphylococcaceae bacterium. RNAcentral describes it as "contains 16S-23S intergenic spacer region". The record is from RNAcentral. Lineage: Bacteria; Bacillati; Bacillota; Bacilli; Caryophanales; Staphylococcaceae.
CCGUCAAUUCCUUUGAGUUUCAACCUUGCGGUCGUACUCCCCAGGCGGAGUGCUUAAUGCGUUAGCUGCAGCACUAAGGGGCGGAAACCCCCUAACACUUAGCACUCAUCGUUUACGGCGUGGACUACCAGGGUAUCUAAUCCUGUUUGAUCCCCACGCUUUCGCACAUCAGCGUCAGUUACAGACCAGAAAGUCGCCUUCGCCACUGGUGUUCCUCCAUAUCUCUGCGCAUUUCACCGCUACACAUGGAAUUCCACUUUCCUCUUCUGCACUCAAGUUUCCCAGUUUCCAAUGACCCUCCACGGUUGAGCCGUGGGCUUUCACAUCAGACUUAAGAAACCGCCUACGCGCGCUUUACGCCCAAUAAUUCCGGAUAACGCUUGCCACCUACGUAUUACCG